CCUACGGGAGGCAGCAGUGAGGAAUAUUGGUCAAUAGACGAGAGUCUGAACCAGCCAAGUAGCGUGAAGGAUGACUGCCCUAUGGGUUGUAAACUUCUUUUAUAUGGGAAUAAAAUGUUCCACGUGUGGGAUUUUGUAUGUACCAUAUGAAUAAGGAUCGGCUAACUCCGUGCCAGCAGCCGCGGUAAUACGGAGGAUCCGAGCGUUAUCCGGAUUUAUUGGGUUUAAAGGGAGCGUAGGUGGAUUGUUAAGUCAGUUGUGAAAGUUUGCGGCUCAACCGUAAAAUUGCAGUUGAAACUGGCAGUCUUGAGUACAGUAGAGGUGGGCGGAAUGCGUGGUGUAGCGGUGAAAUGCUUAGAUAUCACGAAGAACUCCGAUUGCGAAGGCAGUUCACUGGACUGCAACUGACACUGAGGCUCGAAAGUGUGGGUAUCAAACAGGAUUAGAUACCCGUGUAGUC
Molecule: ribosomal RNA, 460 nt
Filed under: uncultured bacterium
Lineage: Bacteria
Description: partial 16S ribosomal RNA
Rfam family: Bacterial small subunit ribosomal RNA
Source: RNAcentral